CUACGGGAGGCAGCAAUUAGGAAUCUUGCGCAAUGGGCGAAAGCCUGACGCAGCGACGCCGCGUGACUGAUGAAGUCUUUCGGGAUGUAAAGGUCUUUUGCAGGGGAAGAAGGAUGUGACGGUACCCUGCGAAUAAGCCCCGGCUAACUACGUGCCAGCAGCCGCGGUAAUACGUAGGGGGCGAGCGUUGUCCGAAUUCACUGGGCGUAAAGCGCGCGUAGGCGGACCUUUAAGUCAGGGGUGAAAUGCCGAGGCUCAACCUCGGAACUGCCUUUGAAACUGGGGGUCUUGAGGUUUGGAGAGGGAAGUGGAAUUCCUGGUGUAGCGGUGAAAUGCGUAGAUAUCAGGAGGAACACCUGUGGCGAAGGCGGCUUCCUGGCCAUAUCCUGACGCUGAGGUGCGAAAGCUAGGGGAGCGAACGGGAUUAGAUACCCCGGUAGG
This 441-nucleotide ribosomal RNA is filed under the name uncultured bacterium. RNAcentral's name for it is "bacterial SSU rRNA". It matches the Rfam family "Bacterial small subunit ribosomal RNA", at positions 339 to 794 of the family's 1533-position model. The record is from RNAcentral.